UCGUGUCGUGAGAUGUCGGGUUAAGUCCCUUAACGAGCGAAACCCCUAUCCUUAGUUGCCAGCAAUUCGGUUGGGGACUCUAGGGAGACUGCCGGUGUUAAACCGGAGGAAGGUGGGGACGACGUCAGGUCAUCAUGGCCUUUAUGACCAGGGCUGCACACGUCCUACAAUGGUGCGUACAAAGGGAAGCUAAGCAGUGAUGUGGAGCAAAUCCCAUAAAACGCGCCCCAGUUCGGAUUGCAGGCUGCAACUCGCCUGCAUGAAGCCGGAAUCGCUAGUAAUCGCGGGUCAGCAUACCGCGGUGAAUAUGUUCCUGAGCCUUGUACACACCGCCCGUCAAGCCACGAAAGUGGGGGGCACCCGAAGUCGCUGAGCUAACUUUUAGAAGCAGGCGCCGAAGGUGAACUCCGCAAUUGGGACUAAGUCGUAACAAGGUAGCCGUAGGGGAACCUGCGGCUGGAUCACCUCCUUUCUAAGGA
This 479-nucleotide ribosomal RNA is filed under the name Planctomycetaceae bacterium. Its description in RNAcentral is "bacterial SSU rRNA". It matches the Rfam family "Bacterial small subunit ribosomal RNA", at positions 1060 to 1533 of the family's 1533-position model. Lineage: Bacteria; Pseudomonadati; Planctomycetota; Planctomycetia; Planctomycetales; Planctomycetaceae. The record is from RNAcentral.